Molecule: ribosomal RNA, 469 nt
Filed under: uncultured bacterium
Lineage: Bacteria
Description: bacterial SSU rRNA
Rfam family: Bacterial small subunit ribosomal RNA
Source: RNAcentral
ACUCCUACGGGAGGCAGCAGUGGGGAAUAUUGCACAAUGGGCGCAAGCCUGAUGCAGCCAUGCCGCGUGUGUGAAGAAGGCCUUCGGGUUGUAAAGCACUUUCAGUAGGGAGGAAGGUGGUGCAGUUAAUACGCUGUAUCAUUUGACGUUAGCUGCAGAAGAAGCACCGGCUAACUCCGUGCCAGCAGCCGCGGUAAUACGGAGGGUGCGAGCGUUAAUCGGAAUUACUGGGCGUAAAAGCGCAUGCAGGUGGUUUGUUAAGUCAGAUGUGAAAGCCCGGGGCGUCAACCUCGGAAUUGCAUUUGAAACUGGCAGACUAGAGUACUGUAGAGGGGGUAGAAUUUCAGGUGUAGCGGUGAAAUGCGUAGAGAUCUGAAGGAAUACCGGUGGCGAAGGCGGCCCCCUGGACAGAUACUGACACUCAGAUGCGAAAGCGUGGGGAGCAAACAGGAUUAGAUACCCCUGGUAG